Molecule: ribosomal RNA, 329 nt
Filed under: uncultured bacterium
Lineage: Bacteria
Description: bacterial SSU rRNA
Rfam family: Bacterial small subunit ribosomal RNA
Source: RNAcentral
AAUGAACGCUGGCGGCGUGCUUAACACAUGCAAGUCGAACGAGAGUACAGGAGCUUGCUCCUGGGCUCUAGUGGCAGACGGGUGAGUAACGCGUGGACAAUCUACCUCCAAGCGGGGGAUACCCAGCCGAAAGGCUGGUUAAUACCGCAUAAUACUCGGAGUACCUAGGUACACCAAGUCAAAGCUGGGGAUUCGGGAAACUGGACCUGGCACUGGGAGAGGAGUUCGCGUCAGAUUAGCUAGUUGGUGGGGUAACGGCCUACCAAGGCAACGAUCUGUAGCCGGCCUGAGAGGGUGAUCGGCCACACUGGAACUGAGACACGGUCCAG